GUAAGUUUAUAAAAAAGCUAUUACCUAUUGGAGAUUGCUUUGAAGCUUAUCGUUAACCCAAGAUUAAGCUAACCCGCUUUCGAACAAAAACCCUCAGAUAAUCUUGACCACAAUUUAUAUAUUUUUGUGCAUUAUAGGGAGAAUAUUUGAAAGUUUCACCAUACGCAAAGUCUGCUAGUGAAUGUUGCAAGUGCGCAAAAUGUAAGCAAAAGAAAUGGAUUCUAUAUAUUUCGUUGUAUUCAUAUAUUCAAUUUGCCCUCAUGACCGCUAACUUGGAUUUUUUCAUCCAUUUUUAUGUUGAAAAUGACUUGGCAGUUGAUCGAUAAACGGUUAGUAUAUCUUACAUCGUUUUUGAGCUAUUUUAAUAGGAGAAUCUUUUUUAUUAUAUAGUAGAGAGUGAGAGUACACAGUGAGAUAUUUUCCAUAUCUUUACUAGUGAAGAUAUCCAUCACGUGACUUUUUCCAAUUUGCUUUUGAGCAUGAAAUUUCACAAUUUUUUGCUUGGGACUCUAUUAAAUACAGAACAUUACACGGUGGCGCGAAGAUAUGACUUUUAUCUUCUCGUGUUAAAAACAAUAUUUCACUCACUCGCGAUUGUUUUCCACUCGAAGAUAAAAGUCAUAUCUUCGCGCCGCCGUGUAACAUCCUCUUUUUACGUUACAUUGUUACGUAACACGCGCUCAAAACUAUUUAACAAUUAGACAACGAGGCCGAGUUGUCUGUAAGCGAAUAUUAUACCUCAAAUUCAAAUUGUCCAAUGAAAAAACAGCAUUUGUACCACGUGGUAGUGUGAUUUUUUACGGUAUUUCACUCAAAUUCAUGAUUUCACAAUCCAGCGUGGGAUACUAUAAUAUCCCACGGCAGAUCCACCGUGGGAUAUUAUAGUAUCCUACGCUCACGCGCGACGCGUGGACACCACGCUCUGAAUUCUGAAACAAUAUGGCGUUCGCGAGCUGUUGCAUGUUUGUAUUAAUUUCGUACAGAACUACAGAAGAUUUUAAUAUUAAAUAAACCAAAUAUUUCAGCACGUAUGUUACUUUCAACGAUCCAAAGGAUACUUGCUCAAAUAUUUUAAGGAGAAAACGUCAAAAACUCAGGCAUAGAUAAGAAAUUAAAAAUUUUAUUCGCGUAGUUAUUAAUAUUCAGCAAGUUUUAAAGUUUAUUCUGAACUUGAUAGACUCUUAGUGAGUUCUUUAACUUUCGGUAUAAUAUAUCAUUUAUAGACCCUCCGCUCGGGGGAUUCGGCGAUAUUUCCCUCAGUGAUGAUAUUUUCCUCGGGGCAAAGCCCCUCGGAAAAUAUCAUCACUUCGGGAAAUAUUACGCCGAAUCCCCCUCGCUCCGGGUCUAUAAAUGAUAAAUAGUCAACGAAGCGAAGCCGAGUUGACUAUUUGCUCAUAGACAACGAGGCCGAGUUGUCUAAUUGUUUUAGUAUAAACUUUAACAUUAAUUUACAACUAGGCUGCAAACACAAUACAAAAUACACAAAAAAAAACAUUAUAAAACCAUUAAAGGUAAACACAUAUUUUAGUUUUUGUUCGCGUCUUCUUUAAUUCAGUCUUAAUUUUAAAAUUUCAUUGAGUGUAUGUUAUUUUGUUUAUUUUCUUACCUUUAAAAAUUGCCAUUCCAUAUUUUUGUUGCUUUUUUCGUGGGGUUUUUUUUAAUACAGAAUUGUUCAACAAGUGGUCCAAAAAAUCAUCAAACACUUCGGCAAAAGUGCAAAACGCGAAUUUUCCGCCAUUUUUAAUUUUCUAUUAGUAGGCUAUCACUAAUAGCCUACUAGUAGCGUAGCCAAUCAGAAGGCACGAUAUGUGUACUAGUAGAUUUAUACUAAAAAUGAAUAUACUUUUCCACUUGGUUAGGACUAUAUUCAAUUUUUUAAAUUUUUGAUACGUUUCUCAAGAGGCAAACAAACUUUAAAAAUAUGUUUAGUGCUAUCUGUAAAAUAAUGCUACAAUGAAGAGAUUUUAGAUGGUAUGCCAAAGCGAAAUGAUGAUGUCUGAAGUUCUGAAUCAGUAAUUAAGUUUUGCUUAUAUGUUGCUGUAUAAAUAUGACAGCAAUUUUACAGCAUCGCCAUCACUCAUCAGUGAUAAUUGUAUUUAAAUUCAUUUAAAAUACUUAACUAUAUUAUUUUGUGCUUCUCAACCGCCAGAUACAUUUGAAAAUGUUGUUAACUGUGUAAACUACAAAAUAAAGAUUAAUUUAAUGCUAAAAAAGUAAUUUUGAGAGGAACGCCAAGAAGAUUUUAAGUUUUGGCCAAAAAUGGCUGGCAAAAAUAACUAAGAUUGAACUACGCAUUCCAUUUCAACGGCCAAUCAGAUUCCUCCCUGAAACGGAUUAUCCCAGAGCCUCGCGUUCCUUUCCGAGGAUCGCAGGUUCGGGAAACGAGAUUGACUUGUUAAAGGAAAAGCAUGGGACGUCAAUACUUUAUUUGCUUAGACCUGUUAUUUCGCUCAAAGUACCCUGCAUGCGCAAUUUGUAUAAAUCCUGCCACCAGUUCUUCAUCCUGCCAAAAUAUCAAUCCUUGUUCGAUGUUUACACUAUUACAAACGUCAAUUACCAACGAACUCUAUUUUUUCUAAACUUCUAUGGAAAAGAAUCAAUGAAUAAAAUAUUACAGGGUUUAUAUAUUUUCCUGAUACUUAAUUUCUUUGUGGGACUUCAAGGUAUGUCGGAUUAUAUACAUUAUACAUGUAUAGAAUAUUGACUGAACUUGGCAUAGAAUAUUGACUUUCCCGUCGACCAAGAACAUUCUACUUACGAGUGAAAUCGUCAGGGAAUUUGUCAAUUGCCCUGCCAAAGUCUACACAGGGGCGGCACUAGGCCUCCUUCAAUGGGGCGGGGGGGGGGGCUGUGUCAGGUUUAAUUUCACCGAGUCAUUAGAUUGGUCUGUAUUAGCUUAUAUGUACACGGGCACAUUUACUAAAUUUUGGUUAGCAUUACAUACAAGCGGAUUAUGCAAAAGUCUCCACUUGCACAAUAAAAUCUGUCAGAUCUGUCGACUAUACACUUGAUUGUUUUUAACUACAACAGAGUUCUAGGCGGUCCGAGGUCAUACUCAUCCGGGAAAAAAUUGAAAUCUAGAGUCUCUGAAAUGGCAUUUCCUCCGUUCUGGAGAAGAUUUCAAAUGACUACCUCAACGAUUAAAAUUGAUCCUAACCAUGCAUCCACAACAACCGUUUCCAGCUAUGACCGCUGUUGAAAACCCACUUGUCUGCAUUUAUAUGGCUGUUGGGCUGUUUUGAAUUUUUAAAUUGCCCGCUACGACUCAAUGGGGCACAUUUUCAAGACAUGAGUAUUCACCUGACGUUUUGAAGUAUUUUAAUACUUAAAACUUAAAAGUUACCAAAACUAAAAAAACCCAAAAAAAACAAAAGUUUGGUUUUAAUUCAAAUGAUUCAAUUCGUUAAUUUGAUCCAUAUCCAAACAGUUCAUUUUUUGCUGAAGGAAUGCAACAAUUCGCCAACUCGUUCAUGGGUUUGUGGCGGUGUUCGACCCUCCUCUAACGCCGCCCCUGAGUCGACAUCCCGAUUUGAUUAUUCUAUUUUUUUUCAUAGGAAAAUCUAUUACGGGCAAGUUACUGAAGCAAGAUAGUUUGAAAAAGGGGAAAAUUCCCACGAUUUUCUCCGGACCGUUACCCGCAUGCAUGGUAAGACCGUCUGCGCAAGAUGAUGGUGUUGUAUUAUCUCGAAUUUGUUAUAUAGCUAGGGUGAACACCAAACGCGAUUGGCUGAUGUGUUGUCACGUGGCUUUAGAUAAACGCAAUGUACCCGCGCCGAGCAACAUGUGAAAAAUUGUUGGCCGCCCUGACCGGUCACACACAUACAUGAAAAAAAUGGCUGGACGACUCGCAAGUUUAUAAACUAGGAUUUUCCAAGUUUGUGUUAAAUUGAAAAAUGUAAAACAGAAGAAAAAUGCACGACAGGCAACAGGAUAUGCUGCUGAAACCGUUUAUAAGUGUUUUUUUUUUUAAAUUUUAAAUGAAAUACAAUUGUUGUAGCCUACCAUGCAAUGUUGUUUAUUUUUCUAGUUUCCAUAACGUAACGAAACACUUAAUGUGUGCUCUCUUGGCCUUGGGAAAUGGUUUUGUUUCCCCUCGAAUCUCAUUAAGAUUCUCGGGAAAACAAAACUAAAUGUUUCCCUCGGCAGCAUGCAGACAUUAACGCCCGUAUUCUAAAAGCUCACUCAUACUCAAUGAUUGAGUGGAAGUUCAAUCUGAGCUUCUCUCGAGUGUCAUUGCUGUUUUUGAAUAGCUGGAGGGCUAGUGUCAUACCUAACUCGGUAACUACUCGCCCUCCAGCUAUUCAAAAACAGCAUUGACACUCAAGAGAAGCUCAGAUUGAACCUCCACUCAUUGAAUGUGAGCUUUUAGAAUACGGGCAUAAUUAUAAGUGAUAAGUGUAUGAAAUGAUCCAAUUAUUACACGUACCAAAAAUCGUAUUUGGCGUCAUUUCUUUUAUAUGAUCUAUACGCACAAGUUGGUAAAUUGUUCUUUGCCAUGAAAACGUCCAAAGAUUUAAAGAAUGAUUAAAUUAAACCAUGUUCAAAUCUGAUGAUUUCAGCCAAUACCGUGGCAGAUCGUUGAUCCAUGUCAUCUACAUGAAUGUGAAGAUGGUGUGCACUUCUUGGUGUCAGUUUGUGAUACGAAGGGAAUCACUUGUGCAGAGGUAAUACAACAUACACGCGUAAAAAUGUCGCAUUUGUCAACAAGAUGUGUUCGCACUGCUUGUUCCCAGUUGCUGACAGCUCUGGAACAAGCUGUUGUCAUCUUGUAACAAAAUUGAUGAGGCCAACAGACUCGCAACAAGUUGUUUUAACAGGCUAGUCUGAUAUCGUCUGCAGACAGGCGUUGACAACAUGCAGGCUCGUAGCAACUUGUUACGAACAUUAUUGGAACAACUUGUAACAAGUCUGUUACUGUCAUCAACCUUGUAACAAGAUGACCAAUCUUGUUCCUCCUAGUGAUUCUGAGUUCGUUUAUACUUUUAUUAUUUAAAUCUGUUUAAUCAUUUUAAUAGGGAGAAUAUUUAAAAGUGGCUUCAAAUCCAAAGGUGGCAAGUGAUUGCUGUAAAUGCACAGCUUGUGAGUAGAUAUUAUAUUUCCUUUUAGUCGGAAAGAGUAAAUUUUAUUUAACAACUUUAUUGGUGCCAUUAAUUACAUUAAAAUAAUUAGUACAAUAUCAACUGGCCCAAAAGGGAAGGUGCGAACGAGACUAUAUAGGAGUCCCAUGCAAGGCACCUACAUUCUCUAAUAAGUAGUAAUAGAUAUUUAUAACUAUAUAUGUAUUAUAAAACUAUGAAAACAAUGAAAGUAGCAAAACGGUUAAACAGGAGCGAAUGAUGAUUUGGAGAUCGAGCUCGAGCUAGUCAACUCUCUUGGAGUGAUUACUUAAGAUGACGCACGAAACAUCAUCAUCCGUUCCUAUUCGAACGUUUUACUUCUAAAUAAUUAGUUUACUCUAUGACCUAUGGCAAGAGCAGUCCCGCACUAGUAGACUAUAUGUGCACGUCAUGUCCACGUCAAAGGUUCUGUUCAGCUCUAAACUACAUGUAUAUUUAGCCAACGUUUUAAACAUUGAUAAGCUGGAAAAGUUUCGAGAAGUGGCAGUGAUCUAUAAUACUGUUCCAGAGCUUGAUUAUACAACUUUAAGUUUAAUUAAAUUAUUAUGCCCAUAUCAGUUAUAAUUUCACUUUCUUUCAGUUUGAAAAGGCUUCGGUGGUGUACAGGUGUAGUCGUCAGAGAUCGUGGGUUUGUUUCUCUUUGGUGACUCAUGGGAGAAAGUCUGUUAACGCUCUACCGAAAGUUGUUACUCCGGUUUCCUCCCACAGGGUGGGUAGGGAUUAGCCCCUAACUCACCCUUCCACCUUAGCCUUCAUGAUCAGACCACUGAGCUCUAUAUAUCACAGAGUAAAAAUGCUGUACUGCAUGAGUGGUUAUAUUACUACUUUAAAAAAUAAGCAGAAACUCGACGUUUCGAGCGAAGGCCCUUCGUCAAGAGUUAGUAGCAGGGAUCGGGGAAAAUGCACGGGCUUUUAUACAAAGAGUAUGAAAGUAUCACGUGACAAAAAAAUAAACCAAUUAGAUGGAUUUAAUAAUAACAAAGUGUAAACAAAAUAUGUAAAUCGCAUUACAGAAUAUAAUAUAAUUAAAAAUAUAACAAUAAACAGGAAGUUAAGACAAAUACUACAAAAAAGAAUCAAAACAAAACACGAGUGGAAAUAAGGUAAAAGUAAAAGUAAUAAAUAGAAGUUGUCAAUGUCUGCUAUAGGCAGGCAAAGACAGAUGGCAUCAUAGACAAAACAGAAGACAUGUCUUCUGGAUUGUCUAUGAUGGCAUUAAACAUAAGAAAAGCGUUCAUUAAUGCCAGAAGGGUGAACAGUGCCAAGUUUGGAUAUGAGGCGUAUUUCAUGUCGUUUGCGGCUAAAUAGGAAUACUCAUUUAUUCCUUGUCUUGUGAUUAUAUUCACCAUUUCAAAACCCACGUUGGUACGUAAUUUAAAGAUAAAUAUUCAUACUUUCAAACAAGACAUAACAAUAAAGAAUCAAAUUCAUUUUCUGACGUUUCGUUGUAGUAUAUCACAACAUCUUCAGAGCAUUUAAAUCAACUUUCAAGAGUAUACAUACAAGUUACUAAAACGGUUAUAAAAUAUUAACCCCUCUGGAAACAGCAUUUUUCUCCCACUUUUCCCAAUUACCCACUGGAAAAAAUGACUAACUUCCAC
This is a non-coding RNA of Paramuricea clavata, 6718 nucleotides long. The record is from the annotation of a GenBank genome assembly. Lineage: Eukaryota; Metazoa; Cnidaria; Anthozoa; Malacalcyonacea; Plexauridae.